Molecule: ribosomal RNA, 496 nt
Filed under: uncultured bacterium
Lineage: Bacteria
Description: partial 16S ribosomal RNA
Rfam family: Bacterial small subunit ribosomal RNA
Source: RNAcentral
GAUGAACGCUGGCGGCGUGCCUAAUACAUGCAAGUCGAGCGAACAGACGAGGAGCUUGCUCCUCUGACGUUAGCGGCGGACGGGUGAGUAACACGUGGAUAACCUACCUAUAAGACUGAGAUAACUUCGGGAAACCGGAGCUAAUACCGGAUAAUAUAUUGAACCGCAUGGUUCAAUAGUGAAAGACGGUUUUGCUGUCACUUAUAGAUGGAUCCGCGCCGCAUUAGCUAGUUGGUAAGGUAACGGCUUACCAAGGCAACGAUGCGUAGCCGACCUGAGAGGGUGAUCGGCCACACUGGAACUGAGACACGGUCCAGACUCCUACGGGAGGCAGCAGUAGGGAAUCUUCCGCAAUGGGCGAAAGCCUGACGGAGCAACGCCGCGUGAGUGAUGAAGGUCUUCGGAUCGUAAAACUCUGUUAUUAGGGAAGAACAAAUGUGUAAGUAACUAUGCACGUCUGGACGGUACCUAAUCAGAAAGCCACGGCUAACUACGU